This is a non-coding RNA of Marmota flaviventris (yellow-bellied marmot), 539 nucleotides long. NCBI's taxonomy places the organism in Eukaryota, Metazoa, Chordata, Mammalia, Rodentia, Sciuridae. The record is from RefSeq and is a predicted model, not a curated record.
UUCUCCUUCAUCCGAGGCCCAGCUGUUCGCCCCUUUCUCUCCUUCCCCUUCACUUUUCUCCUUUGCAGCGAGACCUCAGUCAGUCACUCUGAGCAUGGCCUCUCUCAGGCCUUGCCAUCCUCUUACAGCGUGGCGCCUUGGACAGCCAGUGCCCGCCUUCUCCAGGACUCACAGUGCUGCUGCAGGAAGUCAGGCUGGCAGAGGGGGACCGCGAGUAGCCCAGCCUUUGAUCUCAGCCGGAAGGUUGUGGUUCUCAGUUGUCCCGUCACCGCCAUCUUCUGGGCCUUAUGACAUGAGCAGCGUUGUGUGGAUGGAGAAGAGGAGGCAGGGCGCAGGAAGAGACUUAAACCCUGCUCCUGCCCAGGCCAUCUGGGCGCCAUCGCUGGGGCGGGCACGUCUGCUCGGUGAAGAGGGUCAGGGUUGCUUAGGGUGGGUGUGGCUGCCUCGUUACAGCUGAUACAUUUGUUCUAGGUUUGUCUUUUCAUUGAGUUUUUGUGUGAUGGUGAUUAAAUUUAGAAUAAAAGCACUUAAUUUCACAA